AUAUAUAUCAACCCCUCACUCUUGAGUGGCUUGGAUGUGGGGGUUUGCUGGCCUCUUUAAAAAAGGUUCAGCUCUCCUGAAAUGCAUUAGCAGAACAACCUGUUCAUUCAUUGGUGUGAUAACUAUCUACGCUGUUGAGUGUGAGGCAGUUCAGCUUUCUAACGGUCCUCGGACAACUUAUCAUUUU
This 187-nucleotide unclassified non-coding RNA is filed under the name uncultured Cortinarius. RNAcentral describes it as "sequence contains ITS2". Lineage: Eukaryota; Fungi; Basidiomycota; Agaricomycetes; Agaricales; Cortinariaceae. The record is from RNAcentral.